ACCCAGCUUUAGUCUAGAAACCAAAGGUCAGGGUGUGCUCCCUAACUUAUCUUAGCCUUUGUUAAUACUGUGUGGAGCUCCUCCAGUUAACCAUUCACCCCAGCUGACUGUUUGUGUGGAACCCGACUCAGGCUGGCUAAGCACUCACCUCAGCUUCUGUGUGGAGACUUGCUUGCUCCACACAGCUCAGUCUGCGAAGGCCCCCUGCUGCUGUUGCCGAGUGAGGGGCCUGCGCCCUUAAAAGCACCAUGCUUUGGACAUCACCUACAUCCCUGAAUGCUUGGGUGUGGUCCCAGCUGGCUGGAAUCAAGACUUUCAAUUGGCUAUGAACUGUGUCUGAGUGGCCAUCGCUGGCUAACACCAUGACUUGGCCACAAGAACACAGAAGACGGGGAGGUGCCAUGCUUCCUCUGUGUGUACACCCUGCCCGGGAGCUUGAGUGCUGCUUGGGACUCACCUCCACAGGACACAGUUUCCACGUAAUGGAAUCCCCUCUGUGCCUUUAUGGCUUGCUGUCAUUAAGCCGACUCUGCGUUAUCCUCCUAUUCCUCAGACCCUCCGAGAUGCUCCAGCCGGAAGGACGUCUCCCUGCUCUUUGAGGGCUUGCUCAGCCUUACAUCUGCUCCAGGCAUGCGGGUGGCAGACACCUUGUUUUGAGUGCAGCCAAUAGUUGCAGUCUUUUAGAUAAUUUAAACUGCCUUCACAGGGCUGUAAGAUGGCUGUACAAGUUAAGACCACGCGCUGCUUUCCAGAGGACUGAAGUUCAGUUCCCAGCCUCUACAGUGACACACAACUCUCUGUAAGUUCAGUUCCAAAGGAUCUGACGCCUUCUGGCUUCUGCAGACACCUGGAUGUGCUGUCUAGAUUUGUGUCAACAUGACACAAGACAGAGUCAUUCGGGAAGAGGGAUCCUUAACUGAGAAAAUGCCUUAUGUAUAUACAUAAAAUAAAACAACUCUUUAAAACAACCUAAUGGCUUUUAUCAAUACAACCCAGAUAAAGAGCUCAUUGGCCUUUA
Long non-coding RNA from Meriones unguiculatus (Mongolian gerbil), 1018 nucleotides. RefSeq lists it as uncharacterized. The record is from RefSeq and is a predicted model, not a curated record. The transcript is spliced from 2 exons. Lineage: Eukaryota; Metazoa; Chordata; Mammalia; Rodentia; Muridae.